GAUGAACGCUGGCGGCGUGCCUAAUACAUGCAAGUCGAGCGAACGGACGAGAAGCUUGCUUCUCUGAUGUUAGCGGCGGACGGGUGAGUAACACGUGGAUAACCUACCUAUAAGACUGGGAUAACUUCGGGAAACCGUAGCUAAUACCGGAUAAUAUUUUGAACCGCAUGGUUCAAAAGUGAACGACGGUCUUGCUGUCACUUAUAGAUGGAUCCGCGCUGCAUUAGCUAGUUGGUAAGGUAACGGCUUACCAAGGCAACGAUGCAUAGCCGACCUGAGAGGGUGAUCCGCCACACUGGAACUGAGACACGGUCCAGACUCCUACGGGAGGCAGCAGUAGGGAAUCUUCCGCAAUGGGCGAAAGCCUGACGGAGCAACGCCGCGUGAGUGAUGAAGGUCUUCGGAUCGUAAAACUCUGUUAUUAGGGAAGAACAUAUGUGUAAGUAACUGUGCACAUCUUGACGGUACCUAAUCAGAAAGCCACGGCUAACUACGUG
Molecule: ribosomal RNA, 497 nt
Filed under: uncultured bacterium
Lineage: Bacteria
Description: partial 16S ribosomal RNA
Rfam family: Bacterial small subunit ribosomal RNA
Source: RNAcentral